Molecule: ribosomal RNA, 382 nt
Filed under: Klebsiella pneumoniae
Lineage: Bacteria; Pseudomonadati; Pseudomonadota; Gammaproteobacteria; Enterobacterales; Enterobacteriaceae
Description: partial 23S ribosomal RNA
Rfam family: Bacterial large subunit ribosomal RNA
Source: RNAcentral
UGACCGAUAGUGAACCAGUACCGUGAGGGAAAGGCGAAAAGAACCCCGGCGAGGGGAGUGAAAAAGAACCUGAAACCGUGUACGUACAAGCAGUGGGAGCACCUUCGGGUGUGACUGCGUACCUUUUGUAUAAUGGGUCAGCGACUUAUAUUCUGUAGCAAGGUUAACCGUAUAGGGGAGCCGCAGGGAAACCGAGUCUUAACUGGGCGUUAAGUUGCAGGGUAUAGACCCGAAACCCGGUGAUCUAGCCAUGGGCAGGUUGAAGGUUGGGUAACACUAACUGGAGGACCGAACCGACUAAUGUUGAAAAAUUAGCGGAUGACUUGUGGCUGGGGGUGAAAGGCCAAUCAAACCGGGAGAUAGCUGGUUCUCCCCGAAAGCU